AUGAACGCUGGCGGCGUGCCUAAUACAUGCCAGUCGCGCGAACAGACGAGGAGCUUGCUCCUCUGACGUUAGCGGCGGACGGGUGAGUAACACGUGGCUAACCUACCUAUAAGUCUGGGAUAACUUCGGGAAACCGGAGCUAAUACCGGAUAAUAUAUUGAACCGCAUGGUUCAAUAGUGAAAGACGGUUUUGCUGUCACUUAUAGAUGGAUCCGCGCCGCAUUAGCUAGUUGGUAAGGUAACGGCUUACCAAGGCAACGAUGCGUAGCCGACCUGAGAGGGUGAUCGGCCACACUGGAACUGAGACACGGUCCAGACUCCUACGGGAGGCAGCAGUAGGGAAUCUUCCGCAAUGGGCGAAAGCCUGACGGAGCAACGCCGCGUGAGUGAUGAAGGUCUUCGGAUCGUAAAACUCUGUUAUUAGGGAAGAACAAAUGUGUAAGUAACUAUGCACGUCUUGACGGUACCUAAUCAGAAAGCCACGGCUAACUACGUG
RNAcentral lists this ribosomal RNA (496 nucleotides) under uncultured bacterium. Its description in RNAcentral is "partial 16S ribosomal RNA". It matches the Rfam family "Bacterial small subunit ribosomal RNA", at positions 29 to 507 of the family's 1533-position model. The record is from RNAcentral.